AUGCUAGAAAACACUGGAGACUAAAGAUCUCGAUCUCUUAUUCAAAGGACAGUUACAGCAAAGGGAACAAGGGUACUGCACACUUCCUCCACAAUAGCCUGCCAAUGUGCCUCAGAUUUGACCUGGAAGAAGUAUCUAUAGAUAGUAGCUUAGCCUCUGUGCCCAUGCAGCCUCUGUACACU
This 182-nucleotide small RNA is filed under the name Chelonoidis abingdonii (Abingdon island giant tortoise). RNAcentral's name for it is "TUC338 (ENSCABG00000002725.1)". The record is from RNAcentral. Lineage: Eukaryota; Metazoa; Chordata; Testudines; Testudinidae.